AACGAACGCUGGCGGCAUGCCUAACACAUGCAAGUCGAACGAGACCUUCGGGUCUAGUGGCGCACGGGUGCGUAACGCGUGGGAAUCUGCCCUUGGGUUCGGAAUAACAGUUAGAAAUGACUGCUAAUACCGGAUGAUGUCUUCGGACCAAAGAUUUAUCGCCCAGGGAUGAGCCCGCGUAGGAUUAGCUAGUUGGUGGGGUAAAGGCCUACCAAGGCGACGAUCCUUAGCUGGUCUGAGAGGAUGAUCAGCCACACUGGGACUGAGACACGGCCCAGACUCCUACGGGAGGCAGCAGUGGGGAAUAUUGGACAAUGGGCGAAAGCCUGAUCCAGCAAUGCCGCGUGAGUGAUGAAGGCCUUAGGGUUGUAAAGCUCUUUUACCCGGGAUGAUAAUGACAGUACCGGGAGAAUAAGCCCCGGCUAACUCCGUGCCAGCAGCCGCGGUAAU
RNAcentral lists this ribosomal RNA (450 nucleotides) under uncultured bacterium. RNAcentral's name for it is "bacterial SSU rRNA". It matches the Rfam family "Bacterial small subunit ribosomal RNA", at positions 29 to 524 of the family's 1533-position model. The record is from RNAcentral.